RNAcentral lists this ribosomal RNA (492 nucleotides) under uncultured bacterium. RNAcentral describes it as "partial 16S ribosomal RNA". It matches the Rfam family "Bacterial small subunit ribosomal RNA", at positions 29 to 507 of the family's 1533-position model. The record is from RNAcentral.
AGUGAACGCUGGCGGUAGGCCUAACACAUGCAAGUCGAACGGCAGCACAGUAAGAGCUUGCUCUUACGGGUGGCGAGUGGCGGACGGGUGAGGAAUACAUCGGAAUCUACUUUUUCGUGGGGGAUAACGUAGGGAAACUUACGCUAAUACCGCAUACGACCUACGGGUGAAAGCAGGGGAUCUUCGGACCUUGCGCGAUUGAAUGAGCCGAUGUCGGAUUAGCUAGUUGGCGGGGUAAAGGCCCACCAAGGCGACGAUCCGUAGCUGGUCUGAGAGGAUGAUCAGACACACUGGAACUGAGACACGGUCCAGACUCCUACGGGAGGCAGCAGUGGGGAAUAUUGGACAAUGGGCGCAAGCCUGAUCCAGCCAUACCGCGUGGGUGAAGAAGGCAUUCGGGUUGUAAAGCCCUUUUGUUGGGAAAGAAAAGCAGCAGGUUAAUACCCCGCUGUUCUGACGGUACCCAAAGAAUAAGCACCGGCUAACUUCGUG